UUUUAAAUUUAGGUGUGUUGGUAGAUGACACUCUAGGCACCGUGCCUAUUAAUUCCUGUGUUAAAAAAGUGAGUGCACGCGAAUUAAAAGUUGGACUUAAAUUACUAGAUUUUAACAUGGAACUCCAUUAAGAAAACUAUUUUUAAUUAGUCCCUAGAUACUACUUCUUUUCUUGGGGUAUUGAAGCCUAUUCGUCCAGAACUUGCUCAACUUUUGCGACUAGCCUUGUCGCCAUAGGGUUGUACACAUCCUCGUUUAAUACUGAUUGUCACGUGACACGGCAAUGUGUGUGUGUGUGUGUCGUUAGGCUGUUUGGCCUGUAUUCAAGGCGUUCUAUCCGUUAUGAUUUUAUAUUGAAGCAGAAUACAUCAGGUAUAGGCCCAUGUCAAGUCAAAUCGAUACAGGGAUCGAGGAGGGGGGAGGGGUAGAGCAAAAAAUUCCCAGUCACAUGAAAAAUGAUAUUUUUUAAUGAUUGUUCAUGCAUUAGGGCAAACCCCUGUGUGGCAGGAGCAUGAUGAGUAAAAAAAAUGAAAUAGUAGAAAGAAAGAGGCCGAAACAUAUGGCACGUGGGAAUAAAGUUGCUUUAUAUGUUCCAAGCGAAUGAAGCAAGCGAGAAAAAACCUUUCGUGCAAAUCUAAAUUUGAGACAGAUAUCUUACCUUACACUUUUCCUAAUUUUGGUUUCUUUAAUUCCCUUCAUUUUUUUAUAUCUUGGUUGUACGUAGAACAUUCGGGGGGCAUGCACUGGGCAUAACCCUGGCUUGUGUACCCCAGUGCUAAAUCAGCAGGUGGGUUUUGAUAUCUCUGGAUCUUUAGCAAUUUUAAAACUUUUUAUAGUUGUAAUGGAUGAGAAAAUCCCUGCAAUCUGAUUGGUUGAGAGCAAUGCAAAAAUUUUACUGGGCUGCAUGAACGAUAUCCCGAUAAUCAAAACGCAACGAUAUCCACUGUAAACAAGCAAUCGUCCGAAAAGGUCAUUGUGAUGUCAUCGCGCAUGUACUGUUACCGUCGCUUGUUUACGUCAAAAUUUGAAUUUCGAUCAAAGCAGAAUGAAUCAAAGGAUGCAAAAUGAUCUAUUCCCAUUCAGCCAUUGGACUGAACCGGUACCAAGACCGGAACUGUAACACAGUAAGGAUGGUCAAUAUGAAGCGAGCUUCAUUGAAUUCCUCCAAGAGCUCUGUACUCUGUUCUGAUCAUUUUGAAGAUGCUUGCUUUGACCUGGGCAGACGAUACGUCUUAAACAGGAUGCUGUCCCAACCAUAUUUGAUUUCCCGCCUCGUCUUCAGAAGAAUUCACCCAAACCAAGGUAUUUCCCAAAAGACUUUUCGAUUCAGCAAACAACCUCCCAGAUACUGCAAAGACACCAGUGCCAAAGUCUUCAGCACCUUAAUUUCUCGAAGACCACUCCUACUGAAUACCAGAAAGUCCAAGAGGGGUAAAGUGGAAGUCAACAACAAUAAUGGACUGUAUUAAAACUUGGAGAAGAGGCUGAAAACCACACAGAAGUCCUACCUUAUACAUUACUUGCUUUUAAGUUUGGACAAACAUUGAUUUGCACAACUUUACAACAAAAAAUUUACGCUGUGUGGAUUCUGAUUAUUUAAAAUAGCUCAAUGAAAACGUUUAUCACUGGGCAUGUAACAAAAAUGAAUUCAUUGAAUUUGAAGAUGUCUUACAGUAUAUUCAUUCUGAUUUGAAUGUCAGAAGAGAAAAAAGUUUGUGAAAAGUAGGAAUGACGGCAAGCUGACAGAAGAAUAGAAUACAUGUAGGAUAGAACAAGGCCACAGUUAUAAAUGAGCUGUUGGAUAGAGACAAAAAGAUGAAUUAAGAAUGGGGGUGAUAGAGAAAUAGAGACAGGAAUUGGGGAGCCUGUGAUGAAUGCCUGAGAAAGUAAAAAUUACCAUAUUUUAUUUUUUUAAGGAUUUGAACAGUCAGGAAGAAUGUGGUCUUUUUUCUGUUGUUAUUUCUCAAAAUACUGGUAUGUUUUGUGUACAGAAAGGGGUAUAAUCCUUUGCAAUAAUCACUCUCACAGAAAAUAUUAACUAAUCAAAAGAAAAGUCAAAUAUUUCACUGAUUUACAAUUGUUCGGUCACUCUCAUAUCUAAAGUUACCCCCCCCCCCAUCAUUUCAAGGUAUUGGAGAGAGAGGUUGGGCAGGACAUGGCUGUCAGCAGAAAAAAAAUGCAGGGUGGGGCAAAACAAUUUUGGGAUAUGUGCGAGGGAGCGAAUGCGACAGAGCAGAAUUUUGUGGGGGGAUAUAUGCGAGAGAGCAAAAUGACAGAAGGAAAAUGCAGGGGCCAAGAGAUUUGAGGAAUAUGUAAGAGGGAGCGAAGUGACCAAGCAGAAGAAAUGUAGAGGACAACAAAUUGUUGGGUAUGUGAGGGAGCAAAGCAACCAAUUAAAAAAGGAGGUUAGUCAAAACGUUCUUGAAUAUGAGUAAGGAAGCAACUUGUUCACUUCCGAGCAGUAGGACUCGUUUUAAAAUAGCUUAGGAAAUAUGUGUUUCCUAAGCAUGGUAAACACAUAUUGUAGGCCUAUAGUACAAUUUAGGUGCUCUAAGAGUUAAAUUCUGAAUGAGCUGCAUUUGCUGGUAAAUCAUGCGCAGAGGAUCUUUGUCUUUUAUCCAUUUCUACACUUUUCUUUAGAUUUCAGUUUUAAGGCGGGAAGGAUCCCACCCUCCUGUGGAUGCUAAUAUUUUGACUGACCCUGGGUAAAUAGAAUAAUUACAAAAACAAAAAUGAUGUUUUAAUAUGAGAUUUUUUAAUGCCCCUUGAAAGUCCACCAUCUUUCUCACUCUCUCCAUCUUUCUUUUUAUUCAUUUUAACUUUCCAAUUCUUUCUCUCUUGAUAUCUAUAAAGUUCAGGUUCACCCUUUUAACUUGCACUAUUCCAAGCCCCCAACCAAUUGGCAUCCACAGGAAUGGGGGAGUGGGGCUUCCCCUAGAAAAUAAAGUCAAACAAAAGAAAAAUGUGGAAAAUAGAAAUGGAUAAAGACAAAUAAUCCUCUACGCAUGUCUUACCUACCAAUACAGUUCAUUCACAAUUUAAUUCUUGCAACACCUAAAUUCUACUAUGAGUUUACCAUACUUAGAAAAUGCAUAUUUCCUAUGCCAUUUUUAAACAAGUCCCUAUCGCUGGGAGUGAACGUGUUGCUCACCAGCACGAAUUCGAAAAUAUUUUGAUUGACCUGGGGCCCGUUUCAUAAAACAUUUGCCGCAGCGGCAACUCCCAUUUUCUGCGGCAAAUCUCAAAACAGCGGCAAAUGACAAUUUCUGCGGCAAUAUUUGAUGCAGCUAUUUGAGCUGCGUCAAAUAUUUGCCGCAGAUACUUUCAGGGGCAAAUGACAAUUUCUGCGACAAUAUUUGAUCUAUUUGAGUUGCGUCAAAUAUUGCAGCAGAAACGG
Long non-coding RNA from Lytechinus variegatus (green sea urchin), 3397 nucleotides. RefSeq lists it as uncharacterized. The record is from RefSeq and is a predicted model, not a curated record. Lineage: Eukaryota; Metazoa; Echinodermata; Echinoidea; Temnopleuroida; Toxopneustidae. The transcript has 3 exons.